CCUACGGGGGGCAGCCGUGGGGUAUCUUGCACAGUUUGUGAAACCCUGAUGCAGCAACGCCGCGUGAAGGAAGACGGUUUUCGGAUUGUAAACUUCUGUUCUUAGUGAAGAAGAAUGACGGUAGCUAAGGAGCAAGCCACGGCUGACUACGUGCCAGCAGCCGCGGUAAUAUGUAGGUGGCAAGCGUUGUCCGGAAUUACUGGGUGUAAAGGGAGCGCAGGCGGGAAGCCAAGUCAGCUGUGAAAACUACGGGCUUAACUUGUAGACUGCAGUUGAAACUGGUUUUCUUUAGUGAAGUAGAGGUU
This 305-nucleotide ribosomal RNA is filed under the name uncultured bacterium. Its description in RNAcentral is "bacterial SSU rRNA". It matches the Rfam family "Bacterial small subunit ribosomal RNA", at positions 338 to 659 of the family's 1533-position model. The record is from RNAcentral.